AAGUCCCUUUUCCUCUGUGCCUCAGUUUCCCUGGAGGAAAAAUGGGCCAGGUGUGAUGCUUUUCGAUGACCCUGUCAACACUGUAGGCUAGAAACUUUGAAACUAUUCCCUGCAGGCUGAGAUCUCCUGGAAGAAGGACCACUGAAGGAUGAAACUUUCCAGUGGUGCGUUGGGCAAGCUGAAUUAAAUUGGAAGCCAUAGCUUUAUCCAGGGAGGUGGGGCUAAUUCUCCUCCAUUUGAGUGUGGGCUGCCCAUGGUGACUGUAAUGGAUAGAAUACAGCAGAAGUGAUGGUGUUAAAGACGGACUCAUAGGAGGUGCUGGGCUUCACCUUUGCUCUCUCUGCUGGAUCUCUCAGUGUGGGGAUGGCAGCUGCCAUGUCAUGAGGACAGCCAUGCAGCCCUAUGGAGACGUCAACAUGGGCCCCACCUGUAAAAUGGGAAUAACAGCAGCAUCUCCCUGAGAUGUUCUUUCAAAGAUGAGAAAACAUGAACAACUGGACUCUCUUGCCCAAGCCAUGGUCUCAGUGUUUCCUAAGAUUUAAAACAUUUCAUCCUGAAGACAGACUCUGAGAUGCUCUCUGCACUUGGCUGGAGGAGAGAUGAGCAAUGCUCUGGAAGUGCUGAAGCCCUGGGCUCUUGGAGCUGCCUGCCUGAGGCUGAGCUGUGUGGGAGGAGAAGAAGAACAGCAACAGCCUGGGGAGACAAACACACAAACAAACCUACAAACAAGGGAUGUGUUUGUUACUGAAAGAGAAAGGGCCCAUUCAGCUCUAGGCCCUAGAUGCUCAAUGCUUCCUCCAGGCCUGGAGCCCAGGCAGCUGUCACAUUUAUCUAUCCCCAAAGCCACCUGUGACCCCUGGCUGCUGCACGGGAGGUCCCUGGGCCUGCAAGGGUGGGGGUGGUGACCCUUUCCCUCAUGGCUCAUGGGUUGGCUCCUCAGGCCCUGUCCCAUGGCCUGGGUGGGGUCUCCUUCUCCUUCCUCUUCCUCCACUCGGUGGCUCUAUUCUUAUCCUUCACCUCUGAAGUCCCAGGGACAAACAGUGGGGCCCUCUGGAUGAAGAGAGGGCUUGAAAUGCUGAUGGCUGGAAUGGAGAGAAUUAUUCAAACCAUCCUGGGGUGAGAAAGAGGAGAAGGCAAAGUAACAUUUUUUGAGCACCUACUAUGUGCUUGACACACUGCUGAGCCAUUUCAUCUAAUACUUCCAGCCAAAAGGAGUGGCGGCUCAGAGCUCGAGCAGCUGGCUCUGACUGACAGUGCAUUCCCUUUCCAGGAAAAGAUCCACCCCAUGGGGCUGUGAUGUUAAGAAACAGGACAGGGAAGCAUAAAGGCUACAGUGAGUGAGGGAGUAGCUGACACACAGUAGUGUUCAAUAGAUACUGUGCCCCCAUCCUGAGUCCCUAUGCAUUUUGUAGAAGACUUGUUUAAUGGAAAGGAAAAAACCAUGCUAUAACUGAUCCAUUUAUUUUAUUCAAUAAAUAUUUACUGAGCACCUACUGUGUGCCAGAAACUGUGUAGGGGCUGAAACACAUCAAUGGCCAAGAUGGAAACUGGGAAAGUGCCCCUGCCCUUGCGCAGUUUACAUUCUAGUGGAAUGGCCAGGAGAGGGACCCUUCACGUGCACUUGUCCAGCACAGCUGUGUUGAGUGCUGACUAUGUGUCGGGCUCUGGUCUCUGCAUGGUGUUCUUCAACCUGAGUGUCAGGCUAGGAAGCAGCACUGACUGCCCUGGGCUGUACUGAGCCUCCAUGGGGAUUUCAGAAAAGGUGCUCUUUCUUCUGACAUCUGCCAGAAAAAUGUCUCUAAUCAGUAUGCAAAUUGAUAAUGAUAAUAACAUAUAAACACCAACCUCUGGGGUUGUGCAGUGAACAAACUACCCAACUGUCCCCAACAGGGCUGCUCAGAACCACCCAGGAGCCCCUCCAACCCUGCGUGUAUGUCCCUCCAGUGUUCUUCCACACACUGCAAUAGCUCCAUCAUGAUGCGUACGAAUUGUGAUGAAUGAAAAUAAGAGCUUCCAUUGGCUGAAGACUCACUAAGUUUCCAUAAACCACUAAUAUUCCAAAUUCCCAAUUCCAUUCAGUCCCCGCAUUCCCCUAUGAGGUAGCAUUUAUGGGUUCAGUCACGUGCCCCCAAUAUUCAUAUGUUGAAGUCCUAAGCCCUGACCUCGGGAUGUGACUGCAUUUGGAGAUGGGGUCUUUGAAGCUAUAAUUAAGGUAAAAUGAGUUCAUUAGGGUGGACCCUUAUCCAACGUGGCUGAUUUCUCAAAAGAAGAGAUUUGAACACAAAAGCGUGCAGAGGGAAGACCAAGUGAGGACACAGGCCAGCUACAAGCUAAGGAAAGUGGCCUCAGAAGAAACCAGCUAUGUAGGGACCAUCCCUUGAUCUUGAACUUCUAGCCUAUAGAACUGUGAGAGAAUGAAUUUCUGUUGUUUAAGCCACCCUGUCUCUGGUACUUUAUUGUGGCAGCCCUUGCAAACUAAUACAGAUAGAUUCUAUUAUUUCCCCCGUUUUUACCAAUAAACACACUGAGUCAGUGAGAGGUUAUGUACCAUGUCCAAGGUCACGAGCUAAGAGGUAGGGACGUGGGGUUGGAACUCAGCUCUGAUUCCACACCCAUGCACUUAGCCCCACUGCACUGCACAGAUUUUUCCUUUUUAAUCCCUUUUUGGCCCCUUCAGAGGGGCAUGUCUUAACUGGAUCUCUGCAGGGUGAGCAUGUCAAAAGAGAGGUUGGCACUGAGACUCCACACAUCCACAAACCCUUACCCUGGGCCAGCCCUGCAGAGCCCUGGGCCAUGGGCUGUCUGCCCAGGCAUCUGGGACAAGCUAAAGAAGUUCUCUACUCAUUCUGUUUUAUUUUCUAAACAUUAUUGGUCUUUGGAAGUAGUGACCUUUGAAGAAAGAAAGAAAAAUUCCAGAUAUUCCAAAGAUAGUGAGUAAUCUCUGCAGUCAACCCUAGACCAGGGAAGAGCAAGGAUUCUCUGUGAAGAGCCAGACAGCAAACCUCCCAGGCUCUGCUGGCCAGAAGCGUGUGGCAGCCACUCCACUCCACCACCUCAGCUCAAGACCGCCAUAGGCAGUGUGCAAAUGAAUGAACACAGCUGGCUUCCAUUAUAGCUUUAUUUAUAGACACUAAUAUCUGGAUUUUAUAUCAUCUUUCCAUGUCACAAAAUAUUCUUCUUUUGAUUUUUUUAAACUAUUUAAAAAUGUAAAAACCAUUCUUAGCUUUCGAUCCUUACAAGAAAGGGCUUUGGGCUGGAUUUGGGUUGGUGUAGAUUGUUGUAUUCAUCAUUUCUGAGAAGGAAUUUUUAGACUCUCAGAGCUGGGAAGGCCUAAUGACCCAAUGAGCCCUAGUUUGGUUUACAGAUGGAGACGCAGAUGCUCAGAGCUCUGGUGACUUCAGGAUCAUGAGCUCUUGAGGGCCAUGGUUCCACCUCCAGUCUCAUGGCUCAAUCCCUUCUUCCCACCCUGAGAACACAGCCCCACCAGGAGAGUGAGGAUGUUUCUUUCCAAAAUAAACUCUAAACCCAGGGGCCAACUGGCUCAGCUCCUAUCUGACAAAUUUCCUGAAGCAGUCCACUACUAAGGCUGAAAGGCAGUACGUUACAGCAGGUAGAUGCUCAGAGUGGUGCGAGAUGCACAGCGUGUCCUAUGUUCAGGUUUGUGGUGAUGUCAACACAGUAACUCAGGCUGAACUCACAGCCCACGCUGGGCUCUGCACAAACACCUUCUGGAGCAUUAUUGCAUCAUCACCAUUAAUCCCCCUGAUAACCCUACAAGGUGAGUGAUGUCUGUUUUACAAAUAAGAAGAUCGAAGCUCAGAGGUUAAGUCACUUCACCAAAGACACACAGCUAACAAGUGGCAGCCCAGGCCUCAAAUCCAGGCCUGACUGGCUUUCUUGCUGGGUGUUCAGGGGUGACAGGACCAGGCCCCCCUCUGCCCUGCUGGCCCCAGGAGCAUAUUCCUUCAUGUCAGACCACCAGGCCUUCUGUUGGGGUUGGUCAUGUGGUCACCCUCGCCAUGGGGCUGAUGCAGGUGGCAUGUUCCCGGUGUGUUCACAGGGAUAUUUCUCAGAGAAGAUGAGUCAUGCAGAACUCCAUCACUGAGACGCCCCUACAGGCAGUAGACUCAGAAGCCAAGAUGACAUCACCACCAUCUUCCCUCUCUCCUGCCCAGACUGUUUAAAACUGAUCCUGACAGAUAAACAGUCACGUAGGAAAUGACACGCAUAUGGAGAUGCCUGUUGUUGUGUUGUGUCUGAAAGCAACAACGUGAAAUUAACCCAGAUGCUAAAAGAAGGGCUGAGUUUGAUGAAUGAUGGUCUAUUCAAACGGCAGGACAAUGCACAGCCAUUAAAGUGUUCCUAAGGAAUAUUUGUAUUUAUUGCCCUGGAGCAACAGUGUAUCAAGAGAUGAAACUGAUUAUAAAAUCAUGUGUCUGGUAGAAUGUCAUUUAAAUGAAAAAAGCAUGAUAUAUGUGCAUAGAAAGUAACUGGAAUUUGACCAGGCAUGGUGGCUUACACCUGUAAUCCCAGCAUUUUGGGAGAUAGAGGCAGGCAGAUCACCUGAGGUCAGGAGUUCGAGACCAGCCUGGCCAACAUGGCAAAACUCUGUUUCUACUGAAAAAUUAAAAAAUUAGCUGGGUAUGGUGUCGGGUGCUUGUAAUCCAAGCUACUCCGGAGGCUAAGCAGGAGAAUUUCUUGAACCUGAGAGGCCGAGGUUGUAGUGAGCCGAGAUUGUGCCACUGUACUCCAACCUGGGCGACAAAGCGAGCCUCUAUUCCUCACCCAGCAAAAAAAUAACUGGAAUUGUAUACACCAAAAUGUUAACACAUUAUUUUGAGUGUAUUUAUUCCUUCAUUCACCCAACUAACAUUUAUUGAGUUAACAGCCCAUUUAUGUGCCAGGAAGCACACUAAGUGCUAGGAACAGAGUAGUAAAUACAACCAGGGGAUGGGAUGAUGACUGAUUUUUUUAUUAGACUAUUUUGUAGAGCAGUUUUAAGUUCACAGCAAAGCUGAGAGGAAGGCACAGAGAUUUCCCAUAUACUCCCUACCCCUAAACAUGCAUAGCCUCCCCCAUUAUCAACAUCCCCCAUCAGAGGGUACAUUGUGACAGCUGAUGAUCUUACAGAGACACAUCAUCAUCACCAAAGACCAUCAUUUACAUUAGGGUUCGCUCUUGGUGUUGCACAUUCUAUGGAUUUUGACAAAUGUAUAAUGACAUGAAUCUAGCAUUAGAGUAUCAUGCAGAGUUUCACCAUCCUAAGCAUCCUCUGUGCUCUGCUUAUUCCUCCCUCCCUCCGCUCUAGCCCUCGGAAACCACUGAUCUUUUUACUGUCACUAGUUUUGCCUUUUUCAGAAUGCCAUAUAGUUGGAGGCAUAUGAUAUGUAGCCUUUUCAGAUUAAUUGCUUUCACCUAGUAAUAUGCAUUUCAGUUUCCUCCAUAUAUUUUCAGGCUUGUUAGCUCAUUUCUUUUUAGUGCUGAAUGAUAUUCCACUGUCUAGAUGAGCUACAUUCUAUUUAUUCAUUCACCCCCUAAAAGACAUCUUAGUUGCUUCCAAGUUUUGGCAAUUACGUGUGAAGCUGCUACAAACGUCUGCAUGCAGGUUUUCGUGUGGACAUUCGUUUUCAAUCCUUUGGGUAAAUACCAAGGAGCACAGUUGCUGGGUAGUGUGGCGUAUUAGUUCAUUUUCACACUGCUAUACAUACCUGAGAUUGGGUAAUUUAUUAAUAAAAAGAAAAAAGGCUUAAUUGGCUCACAGUUCUGCAGGCUGUUCAGAAAGCAUAGCGGCUUCUGCUGGGGAGACCUCAGGAAACUUUUACUCAAUUUUGCUGGCAAAGGGAGAGCCAGCAUUUCACAUGGCCAGAGCAAGAGGAAGGGGGGUGCCACACUGUUUUAAACAAUCAGUUCUCAUGAGAACUCACUAUCACGACAACAGCACCAAAGGGGGAUGGUGUUAAACCACAAGAAAUUGCCUCCAUGAUCCAGUCACCUCCCACCUGGCCCCAGCAUUGGGGAUUACAUUUCAACAUGAGAUUUGGGUAGGGACACAGAUCCAAACCAUAUCAUAUGGUAAAAUUAUGUCCAGUUUUGUAAGAAACUGCCACACUGUCUUCCAACAUAGCUGUACUAUUUUACAUUCUCACCAACUGAUAUGGUUUGGCUCUGUGUCCCCAUCCAAGUCUCAUCUCCAAUUGUAAUCCCCCCAUGUGUCAGGGGAGGGACCAGGAGGUUGGUGAUUGGAUUAUGGGAGCGGUUUACCCCACGCUGUUCUCGUGAUGAUGAGUGAAUUCUCACGAGAUCUGAUGGUUUUAAAGUGUGGUUCUUCCUCAUUCUCCCACACACUCCCUCCUGCUGCCUUGUGAAAAAGGUGCCUGCUUUCCCUUCACUUUCUGCCAUGAUUGUUAAGUUUUCUGAGGCCUCCUAGCCACACUUCCUGGUUUUUGUCCCUCUCUUAAAGUGAAUGGUCACAGAGCCAUGAGCAGGUGGAAGAUGCAGGUGGAGGCAUCUUCCCUGUCACCGUUGGUAUGUCUGGUUGAAACCUGCAACAAGAGGCAGCACUGUGUUGCAUGGCUCCAGAGAACACCACUCUCUUUGUGUUCUAUGCAACAUGCCCACGAGUUAUGCAUUGCAGCACCUGGCCAUAAAUCAUCACCAACCCUAUGGAUGAAGCAACACCCCAGGGAGGGUGGAGAAGUACAGGGGAAGGAGCCAGGGCCCCCAUGAAACAAACAUUUCUUCCAGGAAUUUCCCAAGCCCAGACCAUUGCAUGAAAAGAGAAAUAAAAUACUCUUUUGUUUCCAUCACAUUGUUUUUGGUCUCAGUUGGAGCAGCAGACCCUAUAUUGCAACAAACAGACUCAAUCACCCUCAUUAUUAGGAAAGUCAGCUCUGCAGCAAUUCUUCCCUUAAACACCACAGGGUGUUUUGGGCGUUAAAGGAAAAACCUUAGAAAAACUAAAUGUAACAGAAUUUAAUUGAGUGAAAAAUGGUUCUUGAAUUGGGCAAUCCCCAAAACAGAAUAGGUUCAGAGAUGCUUCCAGGCUACCGCGUGGUCGAGGAUGAUUUAUGGGCAGAAAAAAGAGAGUGACAUAUGGAAAACAGAAGUAAGGAACAGAAACAGCUGGAUGGGUUCUAGCUUGGCGUUUGCCUUCUUUGAACAUGGUUUGAAGAGUUGGCUGUCUGUGAUUGGCUGAAACCCAGAGAUUGGUACUAGAGUUGGUUAUAGCCUGUUUACACAUCCAGUUAGGUGAUAGUUCACUAUGUAUGAAGAAACAUUUAAACCAAACUGAAUUUAACAUGGAUAAGACAAGGUCUUUCGUUAAAGGGCCAUGAGAGUGAAGGCAACUUUCACCUCCAGAGCCCCUGCCUUCUGUGCCUGGAUGCCCAGAGGGUCAUCAGCCUGUGUCAUCACGUGGAAUGUCAUCCAUCCUCCUCUGAGAGCCUCAGCAGGGUAAAGAUAUGGCAAAACCCAGACUGUUGUAUUCAUCGCUGUAUACCUAGAGUCCAUCACUGUACUAGCACACAGUAGGGCUCAGAGGUGCUGCUUGCUCAGUAAAGGACUGAAUGAACACAUUGAUGGCUAUAGCCAGUGAGUGAUGCACCAGAUGGGUGCUCACAUUCCUCCAUGCUUUGGCUCCAUCCAACCUAUCUGCUUCCUCUACAAUGUCUUCUUCCCAUGUGGACCAACAGCAGCAACAGCACCUGGGGACUUGUUAGAAUGCAAACUCAUAGGCUGCUCUCCAGACUGCCCAAGUUGGGAACUCUGGUGCUGGCGCGGGGUGCAGUAGUCUGUGUUUUAAUGCACCCACCAGGCGAUUCCAAUGCUGACUCGAGUUUGAGAGCCGCUGCUCGCCAUGAGUGUUUCACAAAUUGCAUAGCACAGCCAUUCCUUUGUUGUUCCCUCUACCUGGGAUGCCUUUCUCCCUAUCUCUGUCAGUAGCAGACUCACUCAUGUUUGGGGGACUCUGAACACGCCACCUCCUCCAGAAAGUAUCCCCAGAUCCCCACAGUCUGGAGGAAUAACUCCCUGGGGAUACUCACAGGCUGUGCUUGUCUCUUCAAUCCCUGGUUUAUUCAGGCCAGAGCUUCCUGCCUCCCCAACUGGGAUGUGAGCUCCUUUCUGCAGUACCAGGUUUUCUUCAACUCCCCAGCCCCUGGCUCCAUCGAGCCAAACUUACAUUGGUAUUCAAUAAAUGCUGUUGGUUUGGUUUUUUUGUUUUUUUUUUUUUUUUUUUGAGACGGAGUCUCGCUCUGUUGCCCAGCCUGGAGUGCAGUGGUGCAAUCUCCGCUCACUGCAAGCUCUGCCUCCCGUGUUCAUGCCAUUCUCCUGCCUCAGCCUCCCGAGUAGCUGGGACCACAGGCACCUGCCACCACCCAGCUAAUUUUUUGUAUUUUUAGUAGAGACAGGAUUUCACUGUGUUAGCCAGGAUGGUCUCGAUCUCCUGACCUCGUGAUCCACCCGCCUCAGCCUCCCAAAGUGCUGGGAUUACAGGCAUGAGCCAACAUGCCUGGCCUGCUGUUGGUUAGAAUAAUACCACAGAGCAUCAGUCUAGUCCACUCCUAGAUAUAGACUCACAAAGAAGAAAGCCAGGUGGCACAGUGAU
RNAcentral lists this long non-coding RNA (8605 nucleotides) under Homo sapiens (human). RNAcentral's name for it is "HSALNT0144264". The record is from RNAcentral. Lineage: Eukaryota; Metazoa; Chordata; Mammalia; Primates; Hominidae.